AACGCACAUUGCGCCCCUUGGUAUUCCGAAGGGCAUGCCUGUUCGAGCGUCAUUAUAACCACUCAAGCUUGGCUUGGUAUUGGGGUUCGCGGUUCCGCGGCCUUUAAAAUCAGUGGCGGUGCCGUCUGGCUCUAAGCGUAGUAAUCCUCUCGCUAUAGGGUCCGGCGGUCGCUUGCCAGAACCUCCCAUUUCUACGGUUGACCUCGGAUCAGGUAGGGAUACCCGCUGAACUUAA
This 235-nucleotide unclassified non-coding RNA is filed under the name uncultured fungus. RNAcentral describes it as "sequence contains ITS2". Lineage: Eukaryota; Fungi. The record is from RNAcentral.